RNAcentral lists this ribosomal RNA (440 nucleotides) under uncultured bacterium. RNAcentral's name for it is "partial 16S ribosomal RNA". It matches the Rfam family "Bacterial small subunit ribosomal RNA", at positions 338 to 795 of the family's 1533-position model. The record is from RNAcentral.
CCUACGGGAGGCUGCAGUGGGGGAUAUUGCACAAUGGGGGGAACCCUGAUGCAGCGACGCCGCGGGGGUGAAGAAGCGCCUCGGCGCGUAAAGCCCUGUCAGCAGGGAAGAAAAUGACGGUACCUGAAGAAGAAGCCCCGGCUAACUACGUGCCAGCAGCCGCGGUAAUACGUAGGGGGCAAGCGUUAUCCGGAUUGACUGGGUGUAAAGGGGGCGCAGACGGCGAUGCAAGCCAGGAGUGAAAGCCCGGGGCCCAACCCCGGGACUGCUCUUGGAACUGCGUGGCUAGAGUGCAGGAGGGGCAGGCGGAAUUCCUGGUGUAGCGGUGAAAUGCGUAGAUAUCAGGAGGAACACCGGUGGCGAAGGCGGCCUGCUGGACUGCAACUGACGUUGAGGCCCGAAAGCGUGGGGAGCAAACAGGAUUAGAUACCCUGGUAGUC